UACAGAGGGUGCAAACGUUGUUCGGAAUUACUGGGCGUAAAGCGCGUGUAGGCAGCUCGGUAAGUCGGAUGUGAAAGCCCUGGGCUCAACCUAGGAAGUGCAUUCGAAACUUCCGAGCUGGAGUGCUGGAGAGGAAGGCGGAAUUCUCGGUGUAGAGGUGAAAUUCGUAGAUAUCGAGAGGAACACCGGUGGCGAAGGCGGCCUUCUGGACAGUUACUGACGCUGAGACGCGAAAGCGUGGGGAGCAAACAGG
RNAcentral lists this ribosomal RNA (253 nucleotides) under uncultured bacterium. RNAcentral's name for it is "partial 16S ribosomal RNA". It matches the Rfam family "Bacterial small subunit ribosomal RNA", at positions 524 to 776 of the family's 1533-position model. The record is from RNAcentral.